AUUCCAGCUCCAAUAGCGUAUAUUAAAGUUGUUGCAGUUAAAAAGCUCGUAGUCGGAUUUUGGCAUCACGCCGAACUGUCUGCCGAUUGGUAAGUACGGUUUGGCGGGUGCUUCCUUCCGGAGGCUCGUUCCCUUCUUCAUUGAAGGGUUCGUUGGUUCCGGGUCUUUUACUUUGAGAAAAUUAGAGUGUUCAAAGCAGGCCUAUGCUCUGAAUAGGUUAGCAUGGAAUAAUAGAAUAGGACUUUGGUUCUAUUUUGUUGGUUUCUAGGACCGAAGUAAUGAUUAAUAGGGACAGUUGGGGGCAUUCAUAUUCCAUUGUCAGAGGUGGAAUUCUCAGACCAGCGGAAGACGAACCACUGCGAAAGCAUUUGCCAGGGAUGUUUUCAUCA
Molecule: ribosomal RNA, 389 nt
Filed under: Picozoa sp.
Lineage: Eukaryota; Picozoa
Description: partial small subunit ribosomal RNA
Rfam family: Eukaryotic small subunit ribosomal RNA
Source: RNAcentral